RNAcentral lists this ribosomal RNA (229 nucleotides) under uncultured bacterium. Its description in RNAcentral is "partial 16S ribosomal RNA". It matches the Rfam family "Bacterial small subunit ribosomal RNA", at positions 118 to 347 of the family's 1533-position model. The record is from RNAcentral.
UGGGCAACCUGCCCUCAGCUCUGGGAUAACUCCAAGAAAUUGGGGCUAAUACCGGAUAUGACCGCUGACCGCAUGGUCUGGUGGUGGAAAGAUUUAUCGGCUGGGGAUGGGCCCGCGGCCUAUCAGCUUGUUGGUGGGGUAACGGCCUACCAAGGCGACGACGGGUAGCCGGCCUGAGAGGGCGACCGGCCACACUGGGACUGAGAUACGGCCCAGACUCCUACGGGAG